This 468-nucleotide ribosomal RNA is filed under the name uncultured bacterium. Its description in RNAcentral is "partial 16S ribosomal RNA". It matches the Rfam family "Bacterial small subunit ribosomal RNA", at positions 28 to 507 of the family's 1533-position model. The record is from RNAcentral.
GACGAACGCUGGCGGCGUGCUUAACACAUGCAAGUCGAACGGAAAGGCCCUGCUUUUGUGGGGUGCUCGAGUGGCGAACGGGUGAGUAACACGUGAGUAACCUGCCCUUGACUUUGGGAUAACUUCAGGAAACUGGGGCUAAUACCGGAUAGGAGCUCCUGCUGCAUGGUGGGGGUUGGAAAGUUUCGGCGGUUGGGGAUGGACUCGCGGCUUAUCAGCUUGUUGGUGGGGUAGUGGCUUACCAAGGCUUUGACGGGUAGCCGGCCUGAGAGGGUGACCGGCGACAUGGGGACUGAGAUAGGGACCAGACUGCUACGGGAGGCAGCAGUGGGGAAUAUUGCACAAUGGGCGGAAGCCUGAGGCAGCAACGCCGCGUGCGGGAUGACGGCCUUCGGGUUGUAAACCGCUUUCGCCUGUGACGAAGCGUGAGUGACGGUAAUGGGUAAAGAAGCACCGGCUAACUACGUG